Molecule: ribosomal RNA, 182 nt
Filed under: Cortinarius subargyronotus
Lineage: Eukaryota; Fungi; Basidiomycota; Agaricomycetes; Agaricales; Cortinariaceae
Description: partial 28S ribosomal RNA
Rfam family: Eukaryotic large subunit ribosomal RNA
Source: RNAcentral
UGUGACCUCAAAUCAGGUAGGACUACCCGCUGAACUUAAGCAUAUCAAUAAGCGGAGGAAAAGAAACUAACAAGGAUUCCCCUAGUAACUGCGAGUGAAGCGGGAAAAGCUCAAAUUUAAAAUCUGGCGGUCUUUUGGCUGUCCGAGUUGUAAUCUAGAGAAGUGUUAUCCGCGCUGGACCG